Oncorhynchus keta (chum salmon) is the source of this 1154-nucleotide long non-coding RNA. RefSeq lists it as uncharacterized. NCBI's taxonomy places the organism in Eukaryota, Metazoa, Chordata, Actinopteri, Salmoniformes, Salmonidae. The transcript is spliced from 4 exons. The record is from RefSeq and is a predicted model, not a curated record.
ACCUCGACGUCAUCAGGGAGCAUGUUCAGUUGGCUCUGGCUCACUUCACUAGCACGGCAAAUGUGUAACGUUAGAGAGACAGAGAGACGAUGGGGACAAACGUUAGAGAUACCUACUCCAUCCAGGAGUGUGUUUCUGUACUCAAGGAGAGCUGUGUAAGGAUCUUCGUCAUUGACGUCAUCAUGGAGCAUGUUCAGUUGGCUCUGGCUCACUUGUGUAAUUGCUCUAGCUAGCAGGAGAUCUGGUUCUCUGAGUAAUCUGCGAUUCCACACACAAUUCAGUUCCGUGUCAGUGACACAAGUUGUUGAAACUUGAGUCUUUUGGGAUAGAUUUCCCUCUAGGUUCGGAGUAGUUGCUGGUCUCAUGUGGGAUAGAUCUCUCUAGGUUCAGAGUAGUUGCUGGUCUCAUGUGGGAUAGAUCUCUCUAGGUUCAGAGUAGUUGCUGGUCUCAUGUGGGAUAGAUCUCUCUAGGUUCAGAGUAGUUGCUGGUCUCAUGUGGGAUAGAUCUCUCUAGGUUCAGAGUAGUUGCUGGUCUCAUGUGGGAUAGAUCUCUCUAGGUUCAGAGUAGUUGCUGGUCUCAUGUGGGAUAGAUCUCUCUAGGUUCAGAGUAGUUGCUGGUCUCAUGUGGGAUAGAUCUCUCUAGGUUCAGAGUAGUUGCUGGUCUCAUGUGGGAUAGAUCUCUCUAGGUUCAGAGUAGUUGUUGGUCUCAUGUGGGAUAGAUUUCUCUAGGUUCAGAGUAGUUGCUGGUCUCAUGUGGGAUAGAUCUCUCUAGGUUCAGAGUAGUUGCUGGUCUCAUGUGGGAUAGAUCUCUCUAGGUUCAGAGUAGUUGCUGGUCUCAUGUGGGAUAGAUCUCUCUAGGUUCAGAGUAGUUGCUGGUCUCAUGUGGGAUAGAUCUCUCUAGGUUCAGAGUAGUUGUUGGUCUCAUUUGUUCCGUGUUUCAGAAUGUUAAAGCUUUCCUUGUGUUACUUUCUAACCCCUGACACCGUGUAACAUAACAGCACAGUGAGGCUGGGAUGCGGGGAGAAGAACCUUGUUUAUCAGAUGUCAUGGGUCAAGUCAAGUGUAAGUACAGAUGAUCGAAUGUAGUGAUUAGUAACAGCGCCACCCUCAGGCACUCCAGGGAAGUACAUGCACAUACAUCACAGUUCUGAUAAG